This 301-nucleotide ribosomal RNA is filed under the name uncultured bacterium. RNAcentral's name for it is "partial 16S ribosomal RNA". It matches the Rfam family "Bacterial small subunit ribosomal RNA", at positions 509 to 807 of the family's 1533-position model. The record is from RNAcentral.
CAGCCGCCGCGGGAAUACGAAGGGGGCUAGCGUUGUUCGGAAUUACUGGGCGUAAAGCGCACGUAGGCGGAUACUUAAGUUAGGGGUGAAAUCCCAGGGCUCAACCCUGGAACUGCCUUUAAUACUGGGUAUCUUGAGUUCGAGAGAGGUAAGUGGAAUUCCGAGUGUAGAGGUGAAAUUCGUAGAUAUUCGGAGGAACACCAGUGGCGAAGGCGGCUUACUGGCUCGAUACUGACGCUGAGGUGCGAAAGCGUGGGGAGCAAACAGGAUUAGAUACCCGAGUAGUCCCUGUCUCUUAUAC